Molecule: long non-coding RNA, 578 nt
Organism: Molossus molossus (Pallas's mastiff bat)
Lineage: Eukaryota; Metazoa; Chordata; Mammalia; Chiroptera; Molossidae
Exons: 3
Source: RefSeq, a predicted model, not a curated record
GUUCUGAGUCUUUUCCGUAAUAUUUUGGUUCCUUGACCGGGAAACAACUCACAGGAGCAGGAGGAGAAACAAUGGGAGCAGGCUCAUCGACUGUACUCGACUGCAUGUUGCAGAAUUUUGAUUGGUUCCGGGGCCAGGAUCCGAGCAUGACCCCGAGCCAAUUGGAAACCUUCUGUUCAGCCAAAUGGCCUAGUUUUGGGGUUGCAGGAAUCACCAUCUGGAUCCAUCACAGCCGAGCCAAGAGGGCAAUGGACCCAGCAAAUUCCAGGAGGAUGGACGGGGACCCAGAUGACCAGCCGCCACUGUUGCCGACCCUGAAGCUUAAAAGGAAACCAGGCAUUGACGGAGGCUCAGAGGAAUGGACAAUUGCCCAGGAUGGUACCUGACUGCAGUGGGAAGUUUUGCUAUAAUCUUAGGAAUUGGACUGAUGACUGUAGCCCCAACAGAAUGGAACACCUGUGAGUGACUGGCUCUCAGGGGAACAUAUCUUGGGCCACUGCUAUGCCCGCAGAAUGCCUACAAUGCUAUCUCCCAGGUAGCGACCAAGCUGGGCCCCUCACAUGUGUUGGGACAAUAAA